Non-coding RNA from Leptonychotes weddellii (Weddell seal), 1846 nucleotides. The record is from RefSeq and is a predicted model, not a curated record. NCBI's taxonomy places the organism in Eukaryota, Metazoa, Chordata, Mammalia, Carnivora, Phocidae.
GUUCAGCACCCUGGCCCCAACACCGCUUCCCUCCGCUCGGCCCAGGGGCCCGUUCUCCAGGUCCAGCAGGAGGGGGUGGGCCGUGGAGACAAGCAGAGCACGGGUUCCGUGCUGGGGGACAUCCAAGGGAAGGGACAUCAAAGGAGUUCGGAGAGGAGACAGAGCGAAGGUAGGGAGGAGUUAGGAAGGUGCAGGGUCGUGGAGACCAAGGGAGCAGUGUUCGGGGACUGUCCCCCACGUCAGGCGCUGUCGAGAAGUCCAGUAAGAGGAGCACUGGGAAAUGGCCCGUGGCUGCACUGGUGAGGAGGCCCCGCAGACGAAGGGGAGAGCAGCUUCGAAGGCCAGUGGCUGCGCAGGGAGUAAAGGCAGUGCAGAGAGGCAGGCAUGGUGCCCAGUACGUGCUCCGGGGAAGCAGGGACAAGGAGGAGGAGGAAGGGGAUAGAGCAGCAGCUUGCUCAGGGCCGAAGUGGGCUCACACAGGACUGUGCGACCCGGCGGAGAAACUCGGGCUGGAAAUGUCCGUUUGUGAGUUGUGAGCCCAGCUGCCGGUUCAGGUCUGCAGCCAGUAGAGUACAAAGCACAGGUGGUCAGCGCAGCACCAGGGUUUAAGGACUGGGCGAAGGACGAGGAGCCAGAGAUGGAGAUGGAAAAAGAGCUGUCAGAAGGACAGCUGCAUCCAGAAUCAGGAGUCCUGCUGCGGCUGGGGACCCAGGACUGCCAGAAUUCUGCCCCAGCCCGUAUAUGGUGUAGACAACACGGUGUAGACAGCUCUGUCCUGGACACACAAUAUCCAGCGGGAGAAAGAGUUUCUGCGGAAGCUGGUGAAAGCACGAGUCAUCACUGACCUAACCAGCGGCAUCUGAGGUGGGCCCAGCACGCGGCCACGGAGGUCCUGGCACCGCCAAGAGGAAGCAGUAAGCACCGCCACCUGCCCACUCCAUUGGCCUCAGUCUGGCUCCCCCUGAAAGGUGCAGGAGUCUUCAGACCCAGAGAAGGACAGUGCCAAGUGGCCGCAGGGGUGGGCGAGGCCUUGGCAGGGCAGCCAGAGCUUUGUCUGCCCAGAGGCCAGCCUCAGAGACCAGCACUUAGCCUCGUUCUCAGCCUGGGGCCUUGAAGCCAGAGGGCCGGGAGGCCGCCGGCCGUGCCCAGCAGGCCCAGCAUGCAGGAGGUGGACAUCAGGCUGCAAGGCUGCUGCUGGAAUCAUUUCUCCAAUCAGUGUUUGGUGUAUUAUCAUUUUGUGAAUUUGGGUAGGGGGGAGGGGAGGGAUAAUUUAUUUUUAAAUAAGGUUGGAGAUGUCAAGUUUGGUCCACUUGCCAUGCAGAAAGAGGCCCACUAGGGGGCCCGUCGGGCUCCCUGUAGAGUGGGGGUGCCGUGACUAGCCUGUGCCCUGCUUGGGGCUAGAGGGAGGUGGGCAGGAUCUCAUGCCAACCCCCUCCAGCCCAUGACACUGUUUGGCCUUUCUUGAGGAGAAGAUGGGGUAUUCCCAUGCACCAGCCCCUAACUACGCCACAGGGAAACCCUGGAGCCAUCGUUGAAGCCGACAAGGCAGACCCUGGGUUAAGCAGAGAGAAGUUCAGAGCUCGGGAGGCGAGGCCUGGCCUAGCGUGAUGGGAAUGCCCGCCGCCCCCCGCCCCCCCCUCCACGCCGCUGCAGCUGAUCCACAGGACAGUGCCCCAGCCUGGACUGACCAACUUGGCAGCUGUUCUGGAUUUCGGCAACGACACUGUCAGGUCCUUGGGCUCUGCCUUCAGCCUGGACCAGAGGGAAGUGAGGCUCAAGGACCUUACCCAGGCUGUGGCAGCCACCCUGGGCAGCCAUCCUGGAAGCAAUAAAGCUCUUCCCUGAG